AUGGUUAUAAAAUGGGGACCAGUGAGCAGAGGAUGGGCUCAAGAAGAAGAAUUGAGAGGGGCUUGGUUAACUAUCCCCAACUGGACAUUCUGCUUUUUGCUGUCCCUGGCAUCAGCUAUCAGAAAGUCUCUGUGGUUUGGCCUUCCAGCUGGCCUCCAGAUGCGAAGGCAGAGUCUGAUGGAGACUUGGUGUCCUGAGAACUCCAGAAUGGGCUGUCAGUGCUCUAAUUUUUCAGGAACUCAGUGGUCUCUAUGGAGCCCAUCUGUGGGUCUCACAUCAAGAAACUUCCAGAGACAGAUCUGACUCUGAAGACUGCAGGGCACUGCAAGAACUCGAUGGGUCCCUGAGGCCAGAAAGUGGCAGAGUUCGCAGAGGAAGCCGCCAGGCCCUGGCCCGACCUCCCUCUUGGCUCUUCCUCCCCCGGCCCCCACAGGGCUGUGCGUUUGAUAGUCAGCUGGAAGACCCAGGUGGAUGGUUCAAUCGGUCACGUGGACACGCAGCUCAGCCAAUUAGAAUCUCGCGGCAGUUGAUUCCUAGAGGUGGAAUCCAUUAAACUG
This 557-nucleotide long non-coding RNA is filed under the name Pongo abelii (Sumatran orangutan). RNAcentral's name for it is "lncRNA (ENSPPYG00000039861.1)". The record is from RNAcentral. Lineage: Eukaryota; Metazoa; Chordata; Mammalia; Primates; Hominidae.